This 443-nucleotide ribosomal RNA is filed under the name uncultured bacterium. Its description in RNAcentral is "partial 16S ribosomal RNA". It matches the Rfam family "Bacterial small subunit ribosomal RNA", at positions 338 to 795 of the family's 1533-position model. The record is from RNAcentral.
CCUACGGGUGGCAGCAGUGGGGAAUAUUGGUCAAUGGAGGAAACUCUGAACCAGCAACGCCGCGUGAAUGAUGAAGGUCUUCGGAUUGUAAAGUUCUUUUCUAAGGGAAGAAGAAAGUGACGGUACCUUAGGAAUAAGCCUCGGCUAACUACGUGCCAGCAGCCGCGGUAAUACGUAGGGGGCAAGCGUUAUCCGGAUUUACUGGGUGUAAAGGGAGCGUAGACGGCUGUGCAAGUCUGAAGUGAAAGCCCGUGGCUCAACCGCGGAACUGCUUUGGAAACUGUAUAGCUUGAGUACUGGAGAGGCAGGCGGAAUUCCUAGUGUAGCGGUGAAAUGCGUAGAUAUUAGGAGGAACACCAGUGGCGAAGGCGGCCUGCUGGACAGAAACUGACGUUGAGGCUCGAAAGCGUGGGGAGCAAACAGGAUUAGAUACCCUUGUGGUC